RNAcentral lists this non-coding RNA (29 nucleotides) under Mus musculus (house mouse). The record is from RNAcentral. Lineage: Eukaryota; Metazoa; Chordata; Mammalia; Rodentia; Muridae.
UGAGAAGCCAGCCCCAGGGAAGGAUUUAC